GAUGAACGCUGGCGGCGUGCUUAACACAUGCAAGUCGAACGGAAAGGCCCAAGCUUGCUUGGGUACUCGAGUGGCGAACGGGUGAGUAACACGUGGGUGAUCUGCCCUGCACUUCGGGAUAAGCCUGGGAAACUGGGUCUAAUACCGGAUAGGACCACUUCUUGGAUGUUGUGGUGGAAAGUUUUUUCGGUGUGGGAUGAGCUCGCGGCCUAUCAGCUUGUUGGUGGGGUAAUGGCCUACCAAGGCGUCGACGGGUAGCCGGCCUGAGAGGGUGUACGGCCACAUUGGGACUGAGAUACGGCCCAGACUCCUACGGGAGGCAGCGGUGGGGAAUAUUGCACAAUGGGCGCAAGCCUGAUGCAGCGACGCCGCGUGGGGGAUGACGGCCUUCGGGUUGUAAACUCCUUUCGCUAGGGACGAAGCGUUUUGUGACGGUACCUGGAGAAGAAGCACCGGCUAACUACGUG
This 467-nucleotide ribosomal RNA is filed under the name uncultured bacterium. Its description in RNAcentral is "partial 16S ribosomal RNA". It matches the Rfam family "Bacterial small subunit ribosomal RNA", at positions 28 to 507 of the family's 1533-position model. The record is from RNAcentral.